UAAGGAAUAUUGCUCAAUGGGAGAAAUCCUGAAGCAGCAACGCCGCGUGGAGGAUGAAGGGUCUAUGACUUGUAAACUCCUGUAAAGAAGGAAAAAAUUCCCAUUAGAUGGGAGAUGAUGGUACUUCUGGAGUAAGCCCCGGCUAACUACGUGCCAGCAGCCGCGGUAAUACGUAGGGGGCAAGCGUUGUCCGGAUUUACUGGGUGUAAAGGGUGCUCAGGCGGAUUUGUAAGUCAGAGGUGAAAUCUUACAGCUUAACUGUAGAACUGCCUUUGAUACUUUUAUUCUUGAGUUCGGGAGAGAGAGACGGAAUUCCAGGUGUAGUGGUGAAAUACGUAGAUAUCUGGAAGAACACCAGUUGCGAAGGCGGUCUCUUGGUCCGACACUGACGCUGAGGCGCGAAAGCGUGGGGAGCAAACA
This 420-nucleotide ribosomal RNA is filed under the name uncultured bacterium. RNAcentral describes it as "bacterial SSU rRNA". It matches the Rfam family "Bacterial small subunit ribosomal RNA", at positions 355 to 774 of the family's 1533-position model. The record is from RNAcentral.